UGAACGCACCUUGCACUCCUUGGUAUUCCGAGGAGUAUGCCUGUUUGAGUGUCAUGGAAUUCUCAACCUCAUGGUUUUAUUACUGUGAGGCUUGGAUUUGGAAGCCUGCUGGCGUAAGUCGGCUCUUCUUAAAUGUAUUAGCUGCUUGUCCGUGAGUUGGCUCAGAGUGUGAUAAGUAUCAACACUUGGUGGCUGCUUGCUUGGAUGUGGCUUCUAAUCGUCUUCGGACAACUUUCUUAAGAUCUGACCUCAAAUCAGGUAGGACUACCCGCUGAACUUAA
Molecule: unclassified non-coding RNA, 281 nt
Filed under: uncultured fungus
Lineage: Eukaryota; Fungi
Description: sequence contains ITS2
Rfam family: 5.8S ribosomal RNA (bases 1-54)
Source: RNAcentral